CAGAAUCUAGGACUGGCGUUGCCCCCCAGCGGGGGCUCCGGUGUGGUGAUGGGUUUUCUUGCCUUGUUCACUAGCGAUGUCAAUAUGCCUUUUUAAAAACAGCUAACAUUUAUGGUGGGCCAUCUCCGUGCGCUAAAUGCCUUUCUUUGGUUAUGUCGUUUGGUUGUUUCAAUGACCCUGCGUGGUAGGUGGUUUCCCGUUUUCCAUAUAAGACCACGGGUUAAGUCACCCAAGGCCACACAGGUGGUGUGGAGCAGGGAUGAAAAAUCCAGGUCUUGCUGCCUCCACAACCCAAACUACUGUGUGCUUUCUGAGAAAUGACUUAAAAUGGAUACUCCAGAGUAUAAGAUAGGGAAAUGUGGGGACAAUUUCUUUUAAAAUAAAAGCAUUUCUAUGUAAUGCCGUUUUGUUUUGUUUUUUUUUCUUAAGGGUAGUAUUUAGUUUCACAGUGUUUGGGGACCUGUUUGAAGAGGAUUAUUCCAGUGUGCCAGAUAAUCAGUAUGGAAAAGGGAAGAAAUUAAAGACCAAAGCUUUGGAGGCACCUGCUCCUAGAGAAUUCACCAAUUUAAGCGGCAUCAGAAAUCAGGGUGGAACCUGUUACCUCGAUUCCCUUCUUCAGACUCUUCAUUUCACACCUGAAUUCAGAGAUAAAACAACAUUCAGUUUUGUGAAGGAGAAUAACUUAUGAGAAUCACUGAGAAAAUUUAGAAGAAAGAAUAGGUAGUAUUUAGUUUCACAAUGUUUGGGGACCUGUUUGAAGAGGAUUAUUCCAGUGUGUCAGAUAAUCAGUAUGGAAAAGGGAAGAAAUUAAAGACCAAAGCUUUGGAGGCACCUGCUCCUAGAGAAUUCACCAAUUUAAGCGGCAUCAGAAAUCGAGGUGGAACCUGUUACCUCAAUUCCCCUCUUCAGACUCUUCAUUUCACACCUGAAUUCAGAGAGCCAUUCUGAUGGAUUGGACUGCAUGUGGGAUUUCAGAGUGGUGUCUCUUGUCCUUGACUUCAUCCCCUCCGUAAAAAGAUAUCCCUGAUGCCUUCAGUAA
Molecule: long non-coding RNA, 1039 nt
Organism: Diceros bicornis minor
Lineage: Eukaryota; Metazoa; Chordata; Mammalia; Perissodactyla; Rhinocerotidae
Exons: 4
Source: RefSeq, a predicted model, not a curated record